This 579-nucleotide long non-coding RNA is filed under the name Mytilus galloprovincialis (Mediterranean mussel). Lineage: Eukaryota; Metazoa; Mollusca; Bivalvia; Mytilida; Mytilidae. The record is from RNAcentral.
GUAAACUCUUGAUCUUUUUUUAUUUUUUGUUGCCGAUGCUUGUGCUGCACUUAACAUGCAUACUCCUUUAUCCAUUGCUUUAAAUUUAACAUAAAUGAUUUUAGGAAUUUUGGUCCUCAAUGCUCUUGAACUUUAUUUGGUCUUUCUAUCAUUUUUUAUUCGGUCGUCACUGAUGAGUCUUUUGUAGACGAAACGAGUGUCAGGCACAAUUAAAACAUUUUAAUCCUGGUAUCUAUGAUGAGUAUAUUUGUAUGUAGGUGUAAUGGUCUCGACUUUUUAAAUUCAUUACGCAAUCGACCGUUCUUAUAUACAGAACAUGAAGCAGUAGAUGUUAUAGCGGUAGUUAACGGAAGAUAGUAAUUUUAUUUUAGAUUGACAGAUAUUUGACGAAAAAUGGUAUUAUAACGUUUCCUUUUUAGUGACAACAUCUAGGUCCAGCUUUGUAUUUUCAAAAUGCAGCUGUGUUUAUUAAAGUAAUUGUCGGUUUUUUCUUCAAUCUAAAUGUAAAUUUUCGUUCAGUGCUUUAAAUACAAUUUGGCAAGAAUGUCUUAACAUACUUUUAUAGUGCUUAUCUGUUAU